This 70-nucleotide transfer RNA is filed under the name Bos taurus (domestic cattle). It matches the Rfam family "tRNA". Rfam says of the family: Transfer RNA (tRNA) molecules are approximately 80 nucleotides in length. Their secondary structure includes four short double-helical elements and three loops (D, anti-codon, and T loops). Further hydrogen bonds mediate the characteristic L-shaped molecular structure. tRNAs have two regions of fundamental functional importance: the anti-codon, which is responsible for specific mRNA codon recognition, and the 3' end, to which the tRNAs corresponding amino acid is attached (by aminoacyl-tRNA synthetases). tRNAs cope with the degeneracy of the genetic code in two manners: having more than one tRNA (with a specific anti-codon) for a particular amino acid; and 'wobble' base-pairing, i.e. permitting non-standard base-pairing at the 3rd anti-codon position. The record is from Rfam by way of RNAcentral. Lineage: Eukaryota; Metazoa; Chordata; Mammalia; Artiodactyla; Bovidae. RNAcentral also lists the same sequence under 2 other names.
UCCCUGGUGGCUCAGAGGUAAAGAGUUACUACCAAUGCAGGAGAUACGGGUUCAAUCCCUGUUUAGGGAG